UGGUGACUAUAGCAAGGAGGUCACACCUGUUCCCAUGCCGAACACAGAAGUUAAGCUCCUUAGCGUCGAUGGUAGUCGAACUUACCGGCAAAAUAAAAGUUAACACAAA
This 109-nucleotide ribosomal RNA is filed under the name Staphylococcus aureus. Lineage: Bacteria; Bacillati; Bacillota; Bacilli; Caryophanales; Staphylococcaceae. The record is from RNAcentral.